CGACGGCGAUCGACGUGAAGGCUUUUCGUCUUUUCCGGUGCGUCGUUACUCAUUCCAGGUCUCCUGUCUUUGUAGCUUCGCCUCCUUGUCUCUACUCCUCCUCACCCGCCUCUUCUUCCUCUCCUCGUCGCCCGCCUUCGCCUUCGCCUUCGCCUUCGCGUUCGCGUUCGCCUUUCAUGUUGGCGUAUCUGAUGGAUCGCGUCGGUUACACCGAGGAGAAGGCUACCGCCAUCGCCAACCGGCUCGCUGGAGUCACCUCCCCCGAGAGACCCGACGCUGUUCUCCGCUUCCUCCGCUCUACCGCCGGCCUCCCCCC
This 316-nucleotide long non-coding RNA is filed under the name Musa acuminata (dwarf banana). RNAcentral describes it as "long non-coding RNA (MACU_LNC003004)". The record is from RNAcentral. Lineage: Eukaryota; Viridiplantae; Streptophyta; Magnoliopsida; Zingiberales; Musaceae.